Molecule: ribosomal RNA, 497 nt
Filed under: uncultured bacterium
Lineage: Bacteria
Description: partial 16S ribosomal RNA
Rfam family: Bacterial small subunit ribosomal RNA
Source: RNAcentral
GAUGAACGCUGGCGGCGUGCCUAAUACAUGCAAGUCGAGCGAACAGACGAGGAGCUUGCUCCUCUGACGUUAGCGGCGGACGGGCGAGUAACACGUGGAUAACCUACCUAUAAGACUGGGAUAACUUCGGGAAACCGGAGCUAAUACCGGAUAAUAUAUUGAACCGCAUGGUUCAAUAGUGAAAGACGGUUUUGCUGUCACUUAUAGAUGGAUCCGCGCCGCAUUAGCUAGUUGGUAAGGUAACGGCUUACCAAGGCAACGAUGCGUAGCCGACCUGAGAGGGUGAUCGGCCACACUGGAACUGAGACACGGUCCAGACUCCUACGGGAGGCAGCAGUAGGGAAUCUUCCGCAAUGGGCGAAAGCCUGACGGAGCAACGCCGCGUGAGUGAUGAAGGUCUUCGGAUUUUAAAACUCUGUUAUUAGGGAAGAACAAAUGUGUAAGUAACUAUGCACGUCUUGACGGUACCUAAUCAGAAAGCCACGGCUAACUACGUG